CAGCAGCAGCCGCGGUAAUACGUAGGUGGCAAGCGUUGUCCGGAAUUAUUGGGCGUAAAGGGCUCGCAGGCGGUUUCUUAAGUCUGAUGUGAAAGCCCCCGGCUCAACCGGGGAGGGUCAUUGGAAACUGGGAAACCUGAGUGCAGAAGAGGAGAGUGGAAUUCCACGUGUAGCGGUGAAAUGCGUAGAGAUGUGGAGGAACACCAGUGGCGAAGGCGACUCUCUGGUCUGUAACUGACGCUGAGGAGCGAAAGCGUGGGGAGCGAACAGGAUUAGAUACCCGCGUAGUCCCUGUCUCUUAUAC
Molecule: ribosomal RNA, 304 nt
Filed under: uncultured bacterium
Lineage: Bacteria
Description: partial 16S ribosomal RNA
Rfam family: Bacterial small subunit ribosomal RNA
Source: RNAcentral